Molecule: transfer RNA, 75 nt
Filed under: Photonectes margarita
Lineage: Eukaryota; Metazoa; Chordata; Actinopteri; Stomiiformes; Stomiidae
Description: tRNA-Leu
Rfam family: tRNA
About the family: Transfer RNA (tRNA) molecules are approximately 80 nucleotides in length. Their secondary structure includes four short double-helical elements and three loops (D, anti-codon, and T loops).
Source: RNAcentral
AUUAAGGUGGCAGAGCCCGGUAAUUGCGAAAGGCCUAAGCCCUCUUCUCCAGAGGUUCAACUCCUCUCCUUGAUA